UUUGUAUCAGGGCAUAGCCAUCGAAAGGUGGUGACGCAAAGCAUCGAGGCUAACGGCACAUGUUGCCCAUGCCGGUCGAGCCGCCAAA
This 88-nucleotide non-coding RNA is filed under the name Acidithiobacillales bacterium. RNAcentral describes it as "c-di-GMP sequence". It matches the Rfam family "c-di-GMP-I riboswitch aptamer". From Rfam's summary of the family: GEMM was predicted in a large-scale screen for bacterial structured RNA regulatory elements. Lineage: Bacteria; Pseudomonadati; Pseudomonadota; Acidithiobacillia; Acidithiobacillales. The record is from RNAcentral.